Molecule: ribosomal RNA, 654 nt
Filed under: uncultured archaeon
Lineage: Archaea
Description: bacterial SSU rRNA
Rfam family: Archaeal small subunit ribosomal RNA
Source: RNAcentral
UUCCGGUUGAUCCUGCCGGACCUGACUGCUAUCGGAUUGAUACUAAGCCAUGCGAGUCUUUGUAGCAAUACAAGGCAGACGGCUCAGUAACGCGUAGUCAACCUAACCUAUGGAUGGGAAUAACCUCGGGAAACUGAGAAUAAUGCCCAAUAGAACACUAUACCUGGAAUGGUUUGUGUUCCAAAUGAUUUAUCGCCGUAGGAUGGGACUGCGGCCUAUCAGUUUGUUGGUGAGGUAAUGGCCCACCAAGACUAUUACAGGUACGGGCUCUGAGAGGAGUAGCCCGGAGAUGGGUACUGAGACACGGAUCCAGGCCCUAUGGGGCGCAGCAGGCGAGAAAACUUUGCAAUGUGCGAAAGCACGACAAGGUUAAUCCGAGUGAUUUGUGCUAAACGAAUCUUUUGUUAGUCCUAGAAACACUAACGAAUAAGGGGUGGGCAAGUUCUGGUGUCAGCCGCCGCGGUAAAACCAGCACCUCAAGUGGUCAGGAUGAUUAUUGGGCCUAAAGCAUCCGUAGCCGGCUCUGUAAGUUUUCGGUUAAAUCUGUACGCUCAACGUACAGGCUGCCGGGAAUACUGCAGAGCUAGGGAGUGGGAGAGGUAGACGGUACUCGGUAGGAAGGGGUAAAAUCCUUUGAUCUAUUGAUGACCACCU